UACAGAGGGGGCUAGCGUUAUUCGGAAUUAUUGGGCGUAAAGGGCGCGUAGGCGGCCUUGCGUGUCUUUCGUGAAAUCCCUCGGCUUAACUGAGGACGUGCGGAAGAAACUGCAGGGCUUGAGUCCGGGAGAGGGGGGUGGAAUUCCCAGUGUAGCGGUGAAAUGCGUAGAUAUCUGGAGGAACACCGGUGGCGAAGGCGGCAUCCUGGACCAAUUCUGACGCUGAGGAGCGAAAGCCAGGGGAGCAAACGGG
RNAcentral lists this ribosomal RNA (253 nucleotides) under uncultured bacterium. RNAcentral's name for it is "partial 16S ribosomal RNA". It matches the Rfam family "Bacterial small subunit ribosomal RNA", at positions 524 to 776 of the family's 1533-position model. The record is from RNAcentral.